AGAGGUAAUGACAUCAUGUGUUUUUCUUUCUAUUUUUGAAGGUGAAGGUAUUUGCGCCUAAUGUCGAGCAGAUGCUCAUCGUUAAUCACUUGAAAGGGAGCCCAACAGAAAGAAGAGAAAUGUGCUGGAGGAAAGUGCCAGGAGAGCCCGGAGGGACGUCCAAGACUUGGCAGACCUGAACUCGAGCAAGCUUGAUGCUGUCAUUCUACCUGGUACCACCGAAGACCUGGACUGAACCCAAUAGAAAGUGAAAAGUGGCUGAGGAUUAUAAAAGCAGCAAAGACCAGGCCUUCUCAGAGAUGCCUUUGGAGACUCUGCCCGGGAUAAGGAAACUGAAGCUCACGGAAGCUUAUGAUGCAAUACCAUCAACCGUGGAUAACAUCAUGAGACCCAUUCAAAAUGCCAUUAGUGAUGCUGGAAAUGCUCCCAAGAAGCAGAGAAAAGUCAUGACAUUACAAGAAAACGUUGGAUUGUUUGAUAAUAUGUACUGUAGAUCAUGAUCUGCAGCUGU
This is a long non-coding RNA of Homo sapiens (human), 511 nucleotides long. RefSeq lists it as uncharacterized. NCBI's taxonomy places the organism in Eukaryota, Metazoa, Chordata, Mammalia, Primates, Hominidae. The record is from RefSeq and is a predicted model, not a curated record. The transcript has 4 exons.